This 134-nucleotide transfer RNA is filed under the name Ceratovacuna subtropicana. Its description in RNAcentral is "tRNA-Val". Lineage: Eukaryota; Metazoa; Arthropoda; Insecta; Hemiptera; Hormaphididae. The record is from RNAcentral.
AUUUAGAAAGAAAUAAAAUUAAUAUAAUAUAUAUAUAUAUAUAUAUAUAUGUUUAUAUUUAUAUUACAUUAAAUAAAUAUCUAAAUUUAAGUAUAUCAUUUACAAUGAUAAGAUGUUUUUUAACUUUAUUUAAA